CUGGCACCUACUACCAUACCCCGUUCAAAGUCACUUAAAUCCAUGUCUCAAUUGUCUCAAGGCUUAAAAAAAAAAAUGUUUGAGUCACCUGACCAGUCUGUCUUGGAAAGAGCAGGUUUGCUUAAUGUUUUGAACACUCAGUGUUUGCUCCUCUUUCUCCUAUCGGCUCCUAUUGUCUCCUAUCGACUCCUAUAUUCUCUUUACGACUCAUAUCGACUCUUAUAUUCUCUUAAUGACUCCUAUUGACUCCUAUAUUCUCUUUACGACUCCUAUCGACUCCUACAUUCUCUUAACUCCUAAUCUCUCUUCUGUAUUGAAGACUCCAUUGAAAUAAUACACUAACAGAAUGUCUGUUUACCUUUUUCAUAAUGACACACACUACAGUAUACACACACACACAGUACACUCACACACUACAGUACUGGUAAGUGCACGAGGGGCCUUCAUACGGCCUGUAUCAGUUUAUGUAGAUGACUCAAAACAUGUAAGCGGUGCGAGUGAACAUCCUUGUCCAAUCCCUCCAAUCAAGAGUGUGCUGAGACCAAAUAUGUUGCUAAACGAAUUCAACACUUCUAUCAGGUGAGCAAUCUCAAGUGCCUCAGGUGCAUCUCAAUAGUAUAAUGUGGCUUCCUCUUCGUCUCCAUCAGCUACAUAAGAUAGAGUGCGUGAAUGCACAUGGUGGAUUCCUACCAGGGAGUUACUUUCUGCUGUUAUGUGUUUUCACAUCAGUGCAAAGGAAAGGACACUGCUUUAAACUGAUUAUAUGCACCGCUGGUCUUGGGUCGCUAGCGUACCUGUAGACGUCCAGUCAUUGCACUAACGCUAGUUAGCAUUGGCUCGCGAAACUGCCUCUAACUUCCUUCAUACUGCAAGCAGACAUAAAAACGCAGAGACACAAAAUGAAUUGCCAGAAUGGUGUAGUAUCCCUUUAAAUAUAACACACUCUUAACCUUCCCCAUACUGUAUGUGCUCUCACUUAUCCUGUGUGAUCUGAUUUAAGUGCACACAGGUCCUUCUGGGGAAAGAGAGUGUUACGGACGCCGUCGUCCCAGAGGCACAUUGACCCACUGCUGAACCAGUCACCUGGAUGGAAGGUACAUCAGAGGAAACGGUCACCUUGAUGGAAGGAAUGUCAGAGGAAACGGUCACCUUGAUGGAAGGAAUGUCAGAGGAACGAUCACCUUGAUGGAAGUAAUGUGAGAGGAACGAUCACCUUGAUGGAAGUAAUGUGAGAGGAACGAUCACCUUGAUGGAAGUAAUGUGAGAGGAACGAUCACCUUGAUGGAAGUAAUGUGAGAGGAACGAUCACCUUGAUGGAAGUAAUGUGAGAGGAACGAUCACCUUGAUGGAAGGAACAUCGGAGGAAAUGGUCACCUUGAUGGAAGUAAUGUGAGAGGAACGAUCACCUUGAUGGAAGGAAAGUCAGAGGAAACGAUCACCUUCAUGGAAGGAACGUUGGAGGAAACAUUGUCGGGAGAUGCAGUGGUGAAGUACAGGGAGGUUUAUGAGAAAUCCAAAGGUCCAGAACAGCAUUCCAAGAGUUGCAGCAUUCCAAGAACAUCUGCGCUUUCAUCUCUGAGCACUCCUCCUAUUCUCCUUUGUUUGCUGAACCACAGAGGAUGACCUCAACUCACAUCCAUUUAUUUGCUUUAUCAAGUACAAAGUACAAAGAUAGCGGGAAGAAAAAUAUCUCCCAUCUGGUCUAGCUGAUACCAUGGAUACCCAAUCUGUCAGAAAUGUGUCUGAACUGCAAAGUCAGGUGAAAAGAGCAGCAGACGAAGUACAAGAAGGCAGUGAAGAAGAAGGCAAGGUCUCUCUACUCUGUGAUGCGAAAGACUCUGGAGACCCAACAUGCCAAGCGGUCUCCCAGCUCCAGAGCCAGGCGUGGGCAGCAGGCCAAGUACAAGGAGGCAGGGAAGCAGCAGUUCUCCACUCCUCUCUACUCAAAGCUUCCAGAGACUUUGGAGACUCAGCACGCCAAAGAGGCCUCCCAGCUACAGAGCAUGCUGAAAUACAAGCAAGGUGGCUAAAAGGAUACGUCCAGUUCUCUGUACUCCCUGCUUCAAGAAACGACAGAGAUCCAGCUAGACAAAGAGAACUGGGAUAUUUACAGUGAGGUGGCCUAAAGGAGUAAAACUAAGCAUUACAUCUACAAUGAUGUCCUGGGAAGGUUUGAUAUCGAGCAUGCCAAUGUGGCCUCCAAACUCACUAGCCAGGUAAAGUACAAGAAGAAGUACGAGCGGUCUAACGGACACUACUAUAUAGCACUGGACACAACAGAACAGCAAGAGAAUGAGGUACUACACAGCCAGGAAGUGAUGUCACUGAGUACUGCCCCUAUAUAUAGGACCUUCCACCACCUGGGAUAUGGAUUCCUGAUGACGACCUAGACGUUGAAAUGUUGUUGUAAAUAAAUAUCACCUGGGAGAAUGAGCAACAGUGUGCAGUGUUUUCCUUUCUGUUUUCCAUGAGUUUGCCUACAACUCCAGCACCUGCGGAAAGUACCAGGAUGUGAGUAUGUUCUUCAGCUUUGGCACACAGUAGCAAAACGUUUUGCAACAGGGAACAAAAACAAGUAUUUCUGUCAUGAACCCUUUGAUGUCUUGUUGUUGCCAAGCUGACCUGAGUCUGUCAGUGUACGUGUUAGUCUGUGUUUGACUCUUCCAGGCCUCCUGCAAGCAGAUAGCCCUGCUGAGGGAGAACUCGUAUUGAACAGUGUCCGAGACACAUCAGAACUACUGCACGCCGCCUACCUGAAAGCUGUCUACAGUCAGUUAGGGAUAACUCUCAGUACAGCAUCCCACCACGCAUUGCACUUUAUUUUACACCACAGAAUGGGAUAUGUGCUUGGAUGGUGUGUCAAUCUCCCUCAACUUUAUGCAGAAGAAGUACAAGGAUGAGGCGGAGAAACUGAAGGGUUCAUAUGUGUUCAACACCCCUGAGAUUGAGAGAGUGAAGAACAACCAGAGAAACAGCUCAGUGAGGGACACAGUACACACAUACACACACUUUUAUGCCGUAUUAUCUGUCAACACAGUUACCCUUUUGCUCUACCCCUCCAGUGUCAGUACACUUGGGACUCAAAGCUGCUGAAAAGCCUGAUGUCUUCUGUCACCGACACUCCGGAAAUCAUCUUCGCCAGGGAGAACAAAGAAAAUCAGUGACGUGAAAUACAGAGACUGGGUGGGGAGCGGGACGGUAGUCAUGGAAACUGUUGACAUGGAGAGGUUCCGCAGAAACAAUGAGAACAUCAGCUUGGUGAAGCAUAAAAAGCAUCUCCAGGCCCCCAGUGUGGGAGUCACCUCAGAGUUGGAGAGAGUCCGUCAGAACCAGGAGAUCAUCAGCUCAGCAAGUCACAUAGGAUGCAUCUUAAAUGGCAACCUACAGUAUAUGUUAGCUCUGACCAAAAGUACUAUCACUACUAUGUAGUGAAAAUGGCCUUGGUGGGAGUGUGCUAGUCAGUAUGACCACCAAUUACUUUUGAGCUAUUUUAGAUUAUUGAGAUGCAACCCGACCUACUUUUGUGCGUUGCAGGUGAAGUACCAGCGCGGGAUGAAGGAGAUGAAGGGGUGGUCCUGCGGCGAGUUGGACACGCCCGGACUGAGUAGUGUCAGGGAGUCAUAGAACGACAUCUAACACAACUGAAGCGCACCACAUGGGGGACUGCUGCACUUUUAACCCACACAGCUAAAUAGUUAACAGCAUGGCUGUUUCCUUGUUAUGAGUGUCUGUGUGUGCGUUACUAAUAAAGUGAUUUUUACAUGG
Molecule: long non-coding RNA, 3765 nt
Organism: Oncorhynchus kisutch (coho salmon)
Lineage: Eukaryota; Metazoa; Chordata; Actinopteri; Salmoniformes; Salmonidae
Exons: 13
Source: RefSeq, a predicted model, not a curated record